Molecule: non-coding RNA, 72 nt
Organism: Budorcas taxicolor (takin)
Lineage: Eukaryota; Metazoa; Chordata; Mammalia; Artiodactyla; Bovidae
Source: the annotation of a RefSeq genome assembly
UCCCUGGUGGCUCAGAUGGUAAAGCUUCUGCCUGAAGAGCAGGAGACCCAGGUUCAAUCCCUGGGUCGGGAA